Molecule: ribosomal RNA, 253 nt
Filed under: uncultured bacterium
Lineage: Bacteria
Description: partial 16S ribosomal RNA
Rfam family: Bacterial small subunit ribosomal RNA
Source: RNAcentral
UACGUAGGGGGCUAGCGUUGUCCGGAUUUAUUGGGCGUAAAGAGCGUGUAGGCGGCCAGAUAGGUCCUCUGUGAAAACUCGAGGCUCAACCUCGAGACGUCGAUGGAAACCAUCUGGCUAGAGUCCGGAAGAGGAGAGUGGAAUUCCUGGUGUAGCGGUGAAAUGCGCAGAUAUCAGGAAGAACACCCGUGGCGAAGGCGGCUCUCUGGUACGUGACUGACGCUGAGACGCGAAAGCGUGGGGAGCAAACAGG